RNAcentral lists this ribosomal RNA (253 nucleotides) under uncultured bacterium. RNAcentral describes it as "partial 16S ribosomal RNA". It matches the Rfam family "Bacterial small subunit ribosomal RNA", at positions 524 to 776 of the family's 1533-position model. The record is from RNAcentral.
UACGUAGGGGGCAAGCGUUGUCCGGAAUCAUUGGGCGUAAAGAGCUCGUAGGCGGCUGUUCAAGUCGAACGUGAAAACUCGGAGCUCAACUCCGAGCCUGCGUUCGAUACUGGCGUGCUUGAGGACUGGAGAGGAGACUGGAAUUCAUGGUGUAGCAGUGAAAUGCGUAGAGAUCAUGAGGAAGACCAGUGGCGAAGGCGGGUCUCUGGACAGUUCCUGACACUGAGACACGAAGGCCAGGGGAGCAAACGGG